GACACGUGUCCUCUGCAGGAGCCGGGGGCGGGGUGGGGGGCACCCCUAGGGGAAAGCCGGGGAAGAACCCCCUCUCCGCUCCGAACGAAGCUGCGGCACCGCCCGUGCCUUCCUGUUCCGCCAAGAGUCCGGCGCCGUCGAAUAGGCUGCCUCCGGCGACGCCUGCGUUCCGCCAGCCGUGGACAUCCGCUCGCGGUGCCCUGCCUGCGGCCACCGGACUCCGGCGUCGGGCUGCGAGUCCCCGCCUACCUCCCCUAGCCGCCACGCUCGCCACGCUGCUCCGAGCUCCGCCCAGCAAAGCCGAGGCCCCGCCCCUUGCUGCACCCUUCCGGUUGCCGGUGCCGGCUUUGUCAGUCCUGCCAGCCCCGAAGGUUCCCCAGACGCAAGAUGUGCGGCCUUGGUGGAGUUCCUACGCUCCUUCAUGCCAUCCUCACAGAAGCCCUGGUGGGCACUGACCCGCCCUUGGAUUUACCUUUGUUCCAGCUCCGGGACUGAGCCUGUUUGUCUCCUCUGGGGAAUUGUUAACGACCUAGGCCCCGUGAAUCCUUUCCGUCCAAAACCGGCCUCGCAGGAGCCAUUUAACCCCCAGGACUGCUGGGUCUCAAAGUGCUGCCCGGCUUACCCACCCUCAAAUGGGGUGAAUCUGGAAUUCACAUCCAGGUCUGAAAACCAAAAGACGUUUCCUCUGCUUUUCAGCCUCCAGAAUUCGCUGCAUUCCUUUUCUCUGGCCUCUCCCACAAGAUGUAGCAAGAUCCUCCUUUGAAAAAGCGCCUGGCAAAGAAAGUAAUGGGGGAAGCCAGAGGGGAAAUUGACCUAACUGCAGGAAGGAAGGGAGUAAAUUCCCAGCCCCUCUCCCAAUUCACAAUCCCAUUAGAGAAAACCCCAGUUUGGCCUCAUGGUCACAUGGAAGUCUAAACACAGCCAGGCGGGGCUGGACUGUGGAUUCAGAGAAGAGGCGGUCCGUGACUUUGGACUGUAUCUAUGACUUUGGGAGGAAGAGCAGUACUGGACUCCCAGACACAACAUGGCUUCCCGGGUAAAGCAAUGAGUGCUGGCUGCUCCCAGGAGUCCACAUCAAACCUCUGGGUGCUAUGAAGACCGGCCUGGUCCAGACACAUGGAAAAGUGUUUUAGACCCUUAUGUCCUCAGACAAGACCCUUAGUGCCCCCCAGGACCUCAUGGGACCCAGGAACUCACAUGACUGUUGGAGCUCAGGCCCAGAAAGGCAGUACUGGAAGCAGGAGGAGGCUAGAGACCUGGGAACCCUCCUUCAUUCCACCUCUUCUUCAUUGUGGCCCCUUAGACAAGGCCCACUCCUUGGCCUCAAGGAUUGCUUGUUAGAUGAAAACAAGAAAUUUGCUUUCUGAA
Molecule: long non-coding RNA, 1368 nt
Organism: Suricata suricatta (meerkat)
Lineage: Eukaryota; Metazoa; Chordata; Mammalia; Carnivora; Herpestidae
Exons: 2
Source: RefSeq, a predicted model, not a curated record